CUGACCAUGGAGCUGCCAAAGCUCGAGAACCACUGACUUUUGGAAGCUUUCUUCCCCUGAAAUUUCAAGCAAUUGAUGCGAUUCAUGACGCCGAAUGUGCAUAUGUCCACAUGCAGAGUCCGAUGUCCAAAUCAGAUGGGGUUGAUAGUCAAGCUGUCCGACGACUACAAUUUUCUGAGAUAAGCAAAGCGGAAGUCUCCC
Molecule: long non-coding RNA, 201 nt
Filed under: Nicotiana benthamiana
Lineage: Eukaryota; Viridiplantae; Streptophyta; Magnoliopsida; Solanales; Solanaceae
Description: long non-coding RNA (NBEN_LNC029615)
Source: RNAcentral